AGUUCGGUGUGGCUCAGAUUAGACACUGGCGGGAUCAUUUUACACGCUUUAAGUCAGGCGGCAGCUGGACUUCGGUCUGGUGGCGGUGGCGAACAGAUGAUAAUGUAUCGGAACGUGCCUAAUGCGGGGAUAACUACGCGAAAGCGUGCUGUGCACUGUACUUCCCUUCGGAAAGCGGGGACCUUCGGGCCUCUUUUCUUGAAGCGGCCGAUAUCGUGGUUAACUGGUUGGUGGAGUAACGGCUCACCGGGCGGCAAUCAUAACUGGUUUGAAGGCAGCCAACCCACUGGUUAAUUACGCCCAGACUCACCGGGAGGCAGCAGUGAAAUUUUGGACAAUGACCACAGUCCAGCCAUCCCGCGUGUUACGAUGAAGGCUAUUCGGGUUGUAUAAGCACUUUUGGCGGGGAAAAACAGCACGGAUAAUACCCCGUACGGCUGACGUGCCACAAAUGGCGCCGGCUAACGUUGCCGGCGGCCGCCGUAUACGUGGGUGCAGCGUUACGUCAGGUUAUCGCGAAUAAGCGUGCGCGAGCGGUUCGAAGAAAGAUGUGAAAUCCCAGAGCUUAACUUUGGAACUGCAUUUUUUUAACUACGAAGCUAGAGUGUCAGAGGGAGGUUAUGCGAUUACCGAUAUGAUGCAAAUGCGUAGAUGUGGAAGGCACCGAUGGCGAAAGGCAACCUCCGCAGGAUAACACUGGCGCUCAUAAGCAAUGAGGCAAACAGGAUUGGAAGUACCCUGGUAGUCCACGCCUAAACAGUAUCCAACUGGCUGUUGGGGCCUUCGGGCCUUGGUAUGCGCAGCUAACGUAGAGUUGACCGCACCAGGAGUACGGUGCUGGGUCAAGCUCAAAGGAAUUGACGGGGACCCGCACAAGCGGUGGAUGAUGUGGAUUGGUAUGAUACGCGCAAGCCUUUACCUGGCAUAUGGAAUCCAAAAGAGAAGUUGCGGGAAUACUCGCAAGAGAACGGAACACAGGUGCUGCAUGGCUGUCGUCAGCUCGUGUCGUGAGAUGUUAGGUUAAGUCCCGCAACGAAGCGCAACCCUUGUCAUUAGUUGCUACGAAAGGGCACUCUAUAAUGAGACUGCCGGUGAUAAACCGGAGGAAGGUCGAGGAUGACGUCGAGAUCCUCAUGGCCAUAUGGGUAGAACUACACGUCUGCAAUGGUCGGGACAGAGAUUAAACCAACCCGCGAAGAGCCAAUCCCGAAACCCGAUCGUAGUCCGGAUCGCAGUCUGCAACUCGACCGUGAAGUCGAAUCGCUAAUGCUUGGAUCAACAAUCGCGGUGAAUACGUUCCGGGUCUUGUACACACCGCCCGUCACACCAUGGGAUGGGUUUGCAGAAGUAGUUAGCUAAACAACAAGGAGGGCGAUUACGGUAGGAUUCCUUAAUGGUGAAGUCGUAACAGGUAA
This 1415-nucleotide ribosomal RNA is filed under the name uncultured Bordetella sp. Its description in RNAcentral is "partial 16S-23S ribosomal RNA intergenic spacer". It matches the Rfam family "Bacterial small subunit ribosomal RNA". Lineage: Bacteria; Pseudomonadati; Pseudomonadota; Betaproteobacteria; Burkholderiales; Alcaligenaceae. The record is from RNAcentral.